CAGCCGCCACGGUAAUACGUAGGUGGCAAGCGUUGUCCGGAAUUAUUGGGCGUAAAGGGCUCGCAGGCGGUUUCUUAAGUCAGGGGUGAAAUCCCGAGGCUCAACCUCGGAACUGCCUUUGAUACUGGAGAUCUUGAGUUCGGAAGAGGUUGGUGGAACAGCUAGUGUAGAGGUGAAAUUCGUAGAUAUUAGCUAGAACACCAGUGGCGAAGGCGGCCAACUGGUCCGACACUGACGCUGAGGUGCGAAAGCGUUGGGAGCAAACAGGAUUAGAGACCCCCGUAGUCCCUGUCUCUUAUAC
This 301-nucleotide ribosomal RNA is filed under the name uncultured bacterium. Its description in RNAcentral is "partial 16S ribosomal RNA". It matches the Rfam family "Bacterial small subunit ribosomal RNA", at positions 509 to 807 of the family's 1533-position model. The record is from RNAcentral.